Molecule: non-coding RNA, 249 nt
Filed under: Bacillus sp. (in: firmicutes)
Lineage: Bacteria; Bacillati; Bacillota; Bacilli; Caryophanales; Bacillaceae
Description: Bacillus sp. T-box sequence
Rfam family: T-box leader
About the family: Uncharged tRNA acts as the effector for transcription antitermination of genes in the T-box leader family.
Source: RNAcentral
GAUAAAGCGUUGAGCGGGGAAGAGUAAGAUUACGUCUGAGGUUUGACAGAGAAUAACCACCAUUGGCUGGAAGUGGUUUAAGCCGUCAAGUAAUCUGAAUGCGCCCCUGAGCCCUUCUUUGAACACCGUAUGAGCGGACUAGUAGGAGAAGGCGGCAUCCCAUUGCCGUUACGAAAUGGAAAAGUUGGGGUUCUUGUCAUAUAGAGAGCCCAAACAGAGUGGAACCGCGCAUUUGAUAGCGUCUCUGUC